AGAGAGAGAGAGAGAGAGAGUUGCCUUAGUAAUCUUAGGCUACUACCUUACUUUUAUAAUGCUCGGUAUGUAACACCCUAAAACCCCUGACUUUAUUUUAUAGAAAAUUCACACGUAGGAUGUUACUUCAUCGAAACACUGAUACAUAAACAUGCAACUUCAAUAAUCCGCAGCGGAAAAUAAAAUAAAAACAUAACAUAAGUUUGAAUUAAACAUCAUUGAAAACUCCAUGAAAAUGAG
RNAcentral lists this long non-coding RNA (240 nucleotides) under Lathyrus oleraceus (garden pea). RNAcentral describes it as "Pisum sativum (pea) long non-coding RNA (PSAT_LNC014278)". The record is from RNAcentral. Lineage: Eukaryota; Viridiplantae; Streptophyta; Magnoliopsida; Fabales; Fabaceae.